This 474-nucleotide ribosomal RNA is filed under the name uncultured bacterium. Its description in RNAcentral is "bacterial SSU rRNA". It matches the Rfam family "Bacterial small subunit ribosomal RNA", at positions 30 to 521 of the family's 1533-position model. The record is from RNAcentral.
AUUGAACGCUGGCGGCAUGCCUUACACAUGCAAGUCGAACGGCAGCACGGGAGCAAUCCUGGUGGCGAGUGGCGAACGGGUGAGUAAUACAUCGGAACGUGCCCAGUUGUGGGGGAUAGCCCGGCGAAAGCCGGAUUAAUACCGCAUACGACCUACGGGUGAAAGCGGGGGAUCGCAAGACCUCGCGCUAUUGGAGCGGCCGAUGUCGGAUUAGCUAGUUGGUGGGGUAAAAGCCUACCAAGGCUACGAUCCGUAGCUGGUCUGAGAGGACGACCAGCCACACUGGGACUGAGAUACGGCCCAGACUCCUACGGGAGGCAGCAGUGGGGAAUAUUGGACAAUGGGGGGCAACCCUGAUCCAGCAAUGCCGCGUGAGUGAUGAAGGCCUUAGGGUUGUAAAGCUCUUUUGCCAGGGAAGAUGAUGACUGUACCUGGAGAAUAAGCCCCGGCUAACUUCGUGCCAGCAGCCGCGGU